GAUGAACGCUGGCGGCGUGCCUAAUACAUGCAAGUCGAGCGAACAGACGAGGAGCUUGCUCCUCUGACGUUAGCGGCGGACGGGUGAGUAACACGUGGAUAACCUACCUAUAAGACUGGGAUAACUUCGGGAAAUCGGAGCUAAUACCGGAUAAUAUAUUGAACCGCAUGGUUCAAUAGUGAAAGACGGUUUUGCUGUCACUUAUAGAUGGAUCCGCGCCGCAUUAGCUAGUUGGUAAGGUAACGGCUUACCAAGGCAACGAUGCGUAGCCGACCUGAGAGGGUGAUCGGCCACACUGGAACUGAGACACGGUCCAGACUCCUACGGGAGGCAGCAGUAGGGAAUCUUCCGCAAAGGGCGAAAGCCUGACGGAGCAACGCCGCGUGAGUGAUGAAGGUCUUCGGAUCGUAAAACUCUGUUAUUAGGGAAGAACAAAUGUGUAAGUAACUAUGCACGUCUUGACGGUACCUAAUCAGAAAGCCACGGCUAACUACGUG
This 497-nucleotide ribosomal RNA is filed under the name uncultured bacterium. Its description in RNAcentral is "partial 16S ribosomal RNA". It matches the Rfam family "Bacterial small subunit ribosomal RNA", at positions 28 to 507 of the family's 1533-position model. The record is from RNAcentral.